GCUCUUCUCAUCUCAAACAAAGAAGCGAACGAAACUAAUACAAAGCAGUGGCCAAGUUUAUUCAAGAAAGUAAAAGUGAAGCAUGGGGAAGAAACUAACACUGCAGAGUGAACUUGAGCCGAGUAAAAGGAAAAGGAAGAUAAAGGAACACCCUGAAGGAAGGAGGGCAAACCACUGUGAGGAAAACCAGCGUAGCAAGUGGUUCUUGGCGUAUGUGUCCUCCAUACGGUCCAAAUCUCACGGAAACCCGCGAGAACUUCUACAUACGGGUCCUGAGAAGCAGUGCUGGAAGUUGAGUUUCCACUGUUCUAUUGAAAACUUGCUCAAAGGGCAGGGGAUUUAGCUCAGUGGUUCUGCCGCCCGUCUCAAAAGUGCAAGGACCCAAGUUCAAUCCCUGGUACCAAAAAAAAAAAAACUUUCUCAAAAUCUCAUAAGAAGUCCAUGUGCAAAAGCUUUGCACAUGUUCUAAGAUCUUGUAAUUAACAGGUCACUCCUACUUCUUCAGCCAGCUUUGCCACACCCUAAUCUCUUAUUUUAAGACCCUGUCUCAAAAUCAAUAAAAAGGGUUGGGGAUGUAGCUCAGGGAGAAAGCCCUGAGUUCAAAGUUAUUUCAAGUCGUCUGGAUUGGAUUUGAGUUUUGGAUCCUCCCGCCUCAGCCUACUCAGUAGCUGGGAUGAAUCUACAUUCUAGCACACUGUACCGUAGUCAUGCAUGUUUUUGUUUCAGGCCCUGGUCUCCCAGACAGUGCUGCUUCCCAGGAGCUCCCAGAAUAUCCCAGUCUCUGAAGUGGAUGUGGCCUUCCUGGUCCAUGUUAGGAAAGCUUUGGUGGCUCUGUGGCCCCAGCCAGUAGGGAGAGUUCAUGGUCUUCACAGGGCUCCCAGCUGUGACCUCGCUCAGCAUCCAGUCACCUUGGGGCCUCUGCUUACGCUAUACCCAUUGUCCAGAACACACUUCCGGCCUUCCUGCUUAGACGCCUCUUCUGGUCCAUCCACUUCUCUGGAGAAUGUAUCACUGACUGCAGAGCCAGCAGAUGUGCCUGGCCCAUGUUCUUGGAGCCCCUAGUGGUGGCCACACACAGCUGGUUCACGCUCAGGCUCUGAUGAGAGGGACACCUGUCCACCUCUGCCCAGAAUCAAGCCCCACAGGGCAGGCUCUGGGGCAGGUUAACACCAGAGUGCCCUAGAGCUGCGUUUAUUGGGCACUCGCUGCAAGUCACAUACAGUUUGAAGUGAAGUAGAGAAAUCAACUCAUUUAAUCCAAGAAGUGCCCG
RNAcentral lists this long non-coding RNA (1270 nucleotides) under Fukomys damarensis (Damara mole-rat). RNAcentral describes it as "lncRNA (ENSFDAG00000032768.1)". Lineage: Eukaryota; Metazoa; Chordata; Mammalia; Rodentia; Bathyergidae. The record is from RNAcentral.